AUUGAACGCUGGCGGCAGGCCUAACACAUGCAAGUCGGACGGUAGCACAGAGGAGCUUGCUCCUUGGGUGACGAGUGGCGGACGGGUGAGUAAUGUCUGGGGAUCUGCCCGAUAGAGGGGGAUAACCACUGGAGACGGUGGCUAAUACCGCAUAACGUCGCAAGACCAAAGAGGGGGACCUUCGGGCCUCUCACUAUCGGAUGAACCCAGAUGGGAUUAGCUAGUAGGCGGGGUAAUGGCCCACCUAGGCGACGAUCCCUAGCUGGUCUGAGAGGAUGACCAGCCACACUGGAACUGAGACACGGUCCAGACUCCUACGGGAGGCAGCAGUGGGGAAUAUUGCACAAUGGGCGCAAGCCUGAUGCAGCCAUGCCGCGUGUAUGAAGAAGGCCUUCGGGUUGUAAAGUACUUUCAGCGGGGAGGAAGGCGGUGCGGUUAAUAACCGCGCCGAUUGACGUUACCCGCAGAAGAAGCACCGGCUAACUCCGUGCCAGCAGCCGCCGUAA
RNAcentral lists this ribosomal RNA (506 nucleotides) under uncultured bacterium. RNAcentral's name for it is "partial 16S ribosomal RNA". It matches the Rfam family "Bacterial small subunit ribosomal RNA", at positions 29 to 523 of the family's 1533-position model. The record is from RNAcentral.